Dreissena polymorpha is the source of this 1053-nucleotide long non-coding RNA. RefSeq lists it as uncharacterized. The record is from RefSeq and is a predicted model, not a curated record. The transcript has 3 exons. Lineage: Eukaryota; Metazoa; Mollusca; Bivalvia; Myida; Dreissenidae.
AGGCUCGUCCACAUCUGGUGCUAGUAUUGCACUGCCGUCCAGGGCCUCGAGAGAACAUCAUGAGCGCGUACUACGAGCUAUCUUACCGCUGCAAGGAGAUACUUUCUCCUGAGCAGCGGAUCCAUCUGCAUUGUUUCAACGGAUCCCUAGAGGAAGUCAGUUUGUGGUUGGGGUAUUUCCCCAACACAUACUUUGGUUACAGUCUGAUGGUGGCCCGUAGAGAUUUUUUGGAAAACAGCAAGAUGGCGUUGAGGCGGAUUGAUGGAGGAAGACUGUUGCUAGAGUCGGAUGCUCCAUACUUCCCGGCAGCCGGUGAGGAGCUGUCAUCACCCUCUUUUAUCGGAGUAAGGGCGCAAGAGGUUGCCAAUAUCCAAGGUUGCAACUGGAGGGAUAUGUUGCAGCAGACGGCCGAAAAUGCCCAACAGCUCUACUGGGGCUAGUCGGGGAAGAUGGAGAAAGGUCACUGGAGGAAUAACACGUAUUUCAUGUAUAGGUGGAGGAGGAGUUGAAAUGAUGGACAUGAUACCGCUCGCACGUAUUUCGUGACAUUGGAUGUAGGUUAAGUACAUUAAGGAUGGAUGAUUAUACACAUGUACUUCAUGUGGAUGAAAUUAUCCCGGAGGAGGUCCAUUAGAUGUUGUAUCUAUGUUUGUUUAAUUGUUUAUUUUCACUUAUUUUUGAAAAUGUGUUACCGCCUUGCAAGAGAAAGUCGGGGGAAGUGUAGCAUUUGCUACUCUGUGGGAACCAGGCAGUUCGUGACGGGAAUCAGACUGGAUGAUUAUCUUGAGGGUUAUUUUUUCCACUUGCGGCUACGGCGCGUUUUCCCGGGGUUUCUCGUAAAAAGAGGGUAUUCUUCUUGCGUUAGCGAGUUUUAACCAUCACGAGUCAGUAAGACAAGGAAGAGGCGGACAGACAGGUGUAAAAGCCCAAACCACAUUUGGGCUUUAAAAGUCUUGAGCCAACCUACAGGGAAUAUUGUAAUCCUUCAGUAUUACAUCAUGAACAUUUUCUUAUGAACACUAUUAUGAAAUUGAAUAAAUUAUUGAAAAAACA